RNAcentral lists this transfer RNA (76 nucleotides) under bacterium. RNAcentral's name for it is "tRNA-Pro". It matches the Rfam family "tRNA". From Rfam's summary of the family: Transfer RNA (tRNA) molecules are approximately 80 nucleotides in length. Their secondary structure includes four short double-helical elements and three loops (D, anti-codon, and T loops). RNAcentral also lists the same sequence under 4 other names. The record is from RNAcentral.
CGGGGCGUAGCGCAGUCUGGUUGAGCGCGCCUGCUUCGGGAGCAGGAGGUCGGAGGUUCAAAUCCUCUCGCCCCGA